AGGUCACCGCUAUUGGAAUACGAUUAAGGCAUGCGAGUCGAGAGUCUUAGGGACUCGGCAGACGGCUCAGUAACACGUAGAUAACCUGCCCUUAGGUGGGGGAUAACCUCGAGAAAUUGAGAAUAAUACCCCAUAGGUCUAGGAUGCUGGAAUGCUUCUAGAUUCAAAGUUCCGGCGCCUAAGGAUGGGUCUGCGGCCUAUCAGGUUGUAGUGAGUGUAACGGACUCACUAGCCGACGACGGGUACGGGCCCUGAGAGGGGGAGCCCGGAGAUGGACUCUGAGACACGAGUCCAGGCCCCAAGGGGCGCAGCAGCUACGAAAACUUCACAAUGCGGGAAACCGCGAUGAGGGAAUUCCAAGUGCUGCAGUAUAACUGUAGCUGUUUAUUUGCCUAAGAAGCAUGUAGAGUAAGGGGUGGGUAAGACUGGUGCCAGCCGCCGCGGUAAUACCAGCAGCCCGAGUGGUGACCACUUUUAUUGGGCCUAAAGCGUCCGUAGCCUGUUUGGUAAACCCUUGGGUAAAUCGAGCAGCUCAACUGUUCGACUUCUGAGGAGACUGCCAGACUUGGGACCGGGAGAGGUUGGAAGUACUUUUGGGGUAGGGGUGAAAAUCCUGUAAUCCCAAAAGGACUACCGGUGGCGAAGGCGUCCAACUAGAACGGGUCCGACGGUAAGGGACGAAGCCCUGGGUCACGAACCGGAUUAGAUACCCCGGGUAGUCCAGGGUGUAAACGCUGCAGGCUUGGUGUUGGGGGUCCUACGAGGGCGUCCAGUGCCGGAGAGAAGUUGUUUAAGCCUGCCGCCUGGGGAGUACGGUCGCAAGACUGAAACUUAAAGGAAUUGGCAGGGGAGCACAGCAACGGGUGGAGCGUGCGGUUUAAUUGGAUUCAACGCCGGAAAACUCACCGGAGGCGACGGUUACAUGAAGGCCAGGCUGAUGACCUUGCCCGAUUUUCCGAGAAGUGGUGCAUGGCCGCCGUCAGUUCGUACCGCAAGGCGUUCUGUUAAGUCAGAUAACGAACGAGACCCCUCCCCCUAGUUGCCAUCAGAUCCUCAGGGAUGCUGGGCAGGUACUUGUACCUUUGCUCUAGGGGUACCGCUGGUGCUAAAUCAGAGGAAGGAAGGGGCAACGGUAGGUCAGUAUGCCCCGAAUCCUCCGGGCUACACGCGCGCUACAAAGGCUAGGACAAUGAGUUUCAAUACCGAAAGGUAAAGGUAAUCUCAAAACCUAGUCAUAGUUCAGAUUGAGGACUGUAACUCGUCCUCAUGAAGCUGGAAUCCGUAGUAAUCGCGGAUCAACAUUCCGCGGUGAAUAUGCCCCUGCUCCUUGCACACACCGCCCGUCAAACCAUCUGAGUUGGGUCUGAGUGAGGAUUCUCCUUCGUGGAGCGUCCGAACUUAGGUUCAGUAAGGAGGGUUAAGUCGUA
This 1427-nucleotide ribosomal RNA is filed under the name uncultured archaeon. RNAcentral describes it as "16S ribosomal RNA". It matches the Rfam family "Archaeal small subunit ribosomal RNA". The record is from RNAcentral.